AGAGUUUGAUCAUGGCUCAGAUUGAACGCUGGCGGCAGGCCUAACACAUGCAAGUCGAACGGUAACAGGAAGAAGCUUGCUUCUUUGCUGACGAGUGGCGGACGGGUGAGUAAUGUCUGGGAAACUGCCUGAUGGAGGGGGAUAACUACUGGAAACGGUAGCUAAUACCGCAUAACGUCGCAAGACCAAAGAGGGGGACCUUCGGGCCUCUUGCCAUCGGAUGUGCCCAGAUGGGAUUAGCUAGUAGGUGGGGUAACGGCUCACCUAGGCGACGAUCCCUAGCUGGUCUGAGAGGAUGACCAGCCACACUGGAACUGAGACACGGUCCAGACUCCUACGGGAGGCAGCAGUGGGGAAUAUUGCACAAUGGGCGCAAGCCUGAUGCAGCCAUGCCGCGUGUAUGAAGAAGGCCUUCGGGUUGUAAAGUACUUUCAGCGGGGAGGAAGGGAGUAAAGUUAAUACCUUUGCUCAUUGACGUUACCCGCAGAAGAAGCACCGGCUAACUCCGUGCCAGCAGCCGCGGUAAUACGGAGGGUGCAAGCGUUAAUCGGAAUUACUGGGCGUAAAGCGCACGCAGGCGGUUUGUUAAGUCAGAUGUGAAAUCCCCGGGCUCAACCUGGGAACUGCAUCUGAUACUGGCAAGCUUGAGUCUCGUAGAGGGGGGUAGAAUUCCAGGUGUAGCGGUGAAAUGCGUAGAGAUCUGGAGGAAUACCGGUGGCGAAGGCGGCCCCCUGGACGAAGACUGACGCUCAGGUGCGAAAGCGCGGGGAGCAAACAGGAUUAGAUACCCUGGUAGUCCACGCCGUAAACGAUGUCGACUUGGAGGUUGUGCCCUUGAGGCGUGGCUUCCGGAGCUAACGCGUUAAGUCGACCGCCUGGGGAGUACGGCCGCAAGGUUAAAACUCAAAUGAAUUGACGGGGGCCCGCACAAGCGGUGGAGCAUGUGGUUUAAUUCGAUGCAACGCGAAGAACCUUACCUGGUCUUGACAUCCACAGAACUUUCCAGAGAUGGAUUGGUGCCUUCGGGAACUGUGAGACAGGUGCUGCAUGGCUGUCGUCAGCUCGUGUUGUGAAAUGUUGGGUUAAGUCCCGCAACGAGCGCAACCCUUAUCUUUUGUUGCCAGCGGUCCGGCCGGGAACUCAAAGGAGACUGCCAGUGAUAAACUGGAGGAAGGUGGGGAUGACGUCAAGUCAUCAUGGCCCUUACGACCAGGGCUACACACGUGCUACAAUGGCGCAUACAAAGAGAAGCGACCUCGCGAGAGCAAGCGGACCUCAUAAAGCGCGUCGUAGUCCGGAUUGGAGUCUGCAACUCGACUCCAUGAAGUCGGAAUCGCUAGUAAUCGUGGAUCAGAAUGCCACGGUGAAUACGUUCCCGGGCCUUGUACACACCGCCCGUCACACCAUGGGAGUGGGUUGCAAAAGAAGUAGGUAGCUUAACCUUCGGGAGGGCGCUUACCACUUUGUGAUUCAUGACUGGGGUGAAGUCGUAACAAGGUAACCGGGGGAACCUGCGGUUG
This 1520-nucleotide ribosomal RNA is filed under the name metagenome. RNAcentral describes it as "bacterial SSU rRNA". It matches the Rfam family "Bacterial small subunit ribosomal RNA". The record is from RNAcentral.